This 532-nucleotide small RNA is filed under the name Sarocladium terricola. RNAcentral describes it as "eukaryotic LSU rRNA". It matches the Rfam family "Eukaryotic large subunit ribosomal RNA", at positions 83 to 637 of the family's 3401-position model. Lineage: Eukaryota; Fungi; Ascomycota; Sordariomycetes; Hypocreales; Sarocladiaceae. The record is from RNAcentral.
GUAACGGCGAGUGAAGCGGCAACAGCUCAAAUUUGAAAUCUGGCCGCAAGGUCCGAGUUGUAAUUUGUAGAGGAUGCUUUUGGCGAGGUGACUUCCGAGUUCCCUGGAACGGGACGCCAUAGAGGGUGAGAGCCCCGUACGGUCGUGCCACCGAGCCUCUGUAAAGCUCCUUCGACGAGUCGAGUAGUUUGGGAAUGCUGCUCUAAAUGGGAGGUGUACGUCUUCUAAAGCUAAAUACCGGCCAGAGACCGAUAGCGCACAAGUAGAGUGAUCGAAAGAUGAAAAGCACUUUGAAAAGAGGGUUAAAAAGUACGUGAAAUUGUUGAAAGGGAAGCAUUCAUGACCAGACUUGGGCUUGGUUGAACAUCCGGCGUUCUCGCCGGUGCACUCUGCCAGCUCAGGCCAGCAUCAGUUUGCCCCGGGGGACAAAGGCGGCGGGAAUGUGGCUCCCUACGGGGAGUGUUAUAGCCCGUCGUGUAAUGCCCUGGGGUGGACUGAGGUUCGCGCUUCGGCACGGAUGCUGGCGUAAUGG